Molecule: long non-coding RNA, 1061 nt
Filed under: Citrus x clementina
Lineage: Eukaryota; Viridiplantae; Streptophyta; Magnoliopsida; Sapindales; Rutaceae
Description: Citrus clementina (C. clementina) long non-coding RNA (CCLE_LNC005694)
Source: RNAcentral
UUGUGUACACACAUAUAUAUAGUAAUUUUCCAAUAAAGAAUCCCUUAUUUUGUUAAGUUAAAAAAUAAGAAAAAUACACAUCCCAAUGCAUUAUAUUUUAUCUUGUAAUGCAUUGUAAUUUUUAUUUUUUUGUCUUUUAAUUGGUCCUUUUUUUUUUGGUUUUGACCACGAAGUAUGGAGGGCCCUAACUGUAGGAGGCACAUUUAAGCCUGUACCACAACUCAGACUAGAAGUCCCCGCUCGAACCGAGAGGCACAGGUUCUCCCAACAAAGGCGACUUCCCUGCGACUCGAACUGGGGAGCAAACUCAGUCAAGCCACUUAAGGAGACUCUAUUGUCAGUGGAGCCAACACUUUUAAUUGGUCCUUUACCGUAUGUAUUAAUUUUCACAUGAGCUAUGUCGUUCUUUUUAUUCAGAGAGAUAUCAUAUGUGUUCAGUUCUUAUUGGGAGAGUUGUUGGUCUUACUUUAGAGGUCUCCUAAUCAUAUUUUGACACGUGCAACAAUGUUCUCUCUCUCUCUCUCUCUCUCUCUCUCUCUCUCUCUCUCUCUCAUGUGUGUGUGUGUGUGUGUAUGGAUGUAUGUAUGUAUGCAUGUAUGUAUCUAGCGGGCAAGUGCUCACCAUAUAGUGAGCACUUGGACAAGUGGUAGAAAUUUGUUUCUCUGUACAUAAUAUUGAAGUUGUAAAUUAGUUAGAGAUUACCGUGUGACAUAUGGCACCCUGUAAGAUGAACAUGAUCACCCACUAUAUCAUUCAUGUCUAAAUAUAUACAUGUAAUUUUCUUUUUGGAACUAGUGUCGUUAUAUUUAUUGGUGUAAUAUUAACAUAAAUCUAUAAUAAAGUGCACUGUAAUAGUAGCCAAGUUCAUGAAUUAAAUAUGUAAACAAUGAGCGGUGCCGCCUUUAGAGUACUAGAGGCCUUAGGCGAAAUUUUUUAUGAGGUCUUCUUAUAUUUAGCAGCCCUAACACUUAAAUAAACAUAAAAAGUUCAAAAUUCAAUCAAUUUCAACUAUAUCUUAAAUAUCAACAAUCAAUAAAAAUAGAAAGGAAUUUAAAAAAGAA